GGCGGCAUAGCCAAGUGGUAAGGCAGAGGUCUGCAAAACCUCGAUUCCCCGGUUCGAAUCCGGGUGCCGCCUCCA
RNAcentral lists this transfer RNA (75 nucleotides) under Deltaproteobacteria bacterium. RNAcentral's name for it is "tRNA-Cys". It matches the Rfam family "tRNA". From Rfam's summary of the family: Transfer RNA (tRNA) molecules are approximately 80 nucleotides in length. Lineage: Bacteria; Pseudomonadati; Myxococcota; Myxococcia. The record is from RNAcentral.